Molecule: non-coding RNA, 722 nt
Organism: Oryctolagus cuniculus (rabbit)
Lineage: Eukaryota; Metazoa; Chordata; Mammalia; Lagomorpha; Leporidae
Source: RefSeq, a predicted model, not a curated record
AGAGAGAGAAUCUUCUAUUUGUUCAUUCUCCAAAUGACCACAAUGGGCAGGAGCCAGGAAUUCCGUCCAGGACUCCCACAUGGGUGGCAGCCACACAAGGACUUGAGCCAUCUUCUGAUGCUUUCCCAGGUGCAUUAGCAGGGAGCUGGAUCAGAAGCAGACCAGCCAGGAUUUGAACAUGUUCCCAUACAGGAUGCUAGCACUGCAGACAGUAGCUUAACCUCAGCAUCUUGAAAGAACAGAAAUUUUGUUCAAGAAACAAAAAAACUCAUCAAAUAUGUUUUUGAAAGGAUCAAGGUGGUUACGGUACACUUUCAUUUUUUAGGAAGGUUUAUUUAUUUGAGAGGCCCUUCCCUAAUCCUUUACAGAGACUAUUAUCUUAACAUGAAAUUUCCUUGUCCUUGACCAUAAUCUCAUGUCCAUUCUGCUGAAAACUUUGUACUCAUUCUUAAAGCCAAGAGAAAAAUGUCACCUCCCCAAAGGUGCUGUUUCACACCUGUAGUCCAGUGGAACUGGACUUCAUUGCAAGCUUUAUAAAGACAGAGAUGAGUACUUCUUGAUGUCUCCAGAGCUUUCUACAAUGCCCCAUACAAGAUUGAUGCUCCCUACAUGUCACAUUUGAAUGAAUGGGAUACUAUGAACCAUAAUCUAACUGUUACACAGAGAUUGGUCUACCGCCAUUUUAUGUAUAAAAUAGAAAUAAAAUAUAUUUAUAAAAUAUA